This 1242-nucleotide ribosomal RNA is filed under the name metagenome. RNAcentral describes it as "bacterial LSU rRNA". It matches the Rfam family "Bacterial large subunit ribosomal RNA", at positions 1564 to 2815 of the family's 2925-position model. The record is from RNAcentral.
UGAAUACGAGACGCUACGGCGUCGAAGCAGUCUAUGUCAUACUUCCAAGAAAAGCUUGCACUGUCAUAAACAAAUAAUGCCUGUACCAUAACCGACACAGGUGGGUAGGUAGAGUAUACUAAGGGGCGCGAGAUAACUCUCUCUAAGGAACUCGGCAAAAUGACUCCGUAACUUCGGGAGAAGGAGUGCCUUAUUUAUAAGGUUGCAAUAACAAGAUCCAAGCAACUGUUUAUCAAAAACACAGGUCUCCGCUAAGUCGUAAGACGAUGUAUGGGGGCUGACGCCUGCCCAGUGCCAGAAGGUUAAAGAAGUUGGUUAGCAUUAGCGAAGCUGAUAACUGAAGCCCUGGUGAACGGCGGCCGUAACAAUAACGGUCCUAAGGUAGCGAAAUUCCUUGUCGGGUAAGUUCCGACCCGCACGAAAGGCGUAAUGAUUUGGAUACUGUCUCGGAGAGGGGCUCGGUGAAAUAGACUUGUCUGUGAAGAUGCGGACUACCUGCACCUGGACAGAAAGACCCUAUGAAGCUUUACUGUAACCUGAAAUUGAAAUUGGACUUUAUUUGCGCAGUAUAGGUGGGAGGCGUUGAGAAUAUUCUUGCGGGAAUAUUGGAGCCAUCAGUGAGAUACCACUCUUGUAAUGUUAGAUUUCUAACUUUGAAUCAUUAUCUGGUCAAAGAACAGUUUCAGGCGGGCAGUUUGACUGGGGCGGUCGCCUCCUAAAUGGUAACGGAGGCGCACAAAGGUUUCCUCUGAACGGGUAGAAAUCGUAUCUAGAGUGUAAAGGCAUAAGGAAGCUUGACUGUGAGACCUACAAGUCGAGCAGGGACGAAAGUCGGUCUUAGUGAUCUGACGGUGCUGAGUGGAAAGGCCGUCACUCAACGGAUAAAAGUUACUCUAAGGAUAACAGGCUGAUCUCCCCCAAGAGUUCACAUCGACGGGGAGGUUUGGCACCUCGAUGUCGGCUCAUCGCAUCCUGGGGCGGUAGUACGUCCCAAGGGUUGGGCUGUUCGCCCAUGAAAGCGGUACGCGAGCUGGGUUCAGAACGUCGUGAGACAGUUCGGUCCAUAUCCGGUGUAGGCGUUAGAAUAUUGAGAGGAGCCUUCUUUAGUACGAGAGGACCGAGAAGGACAUACCUCUGGUGUACCAGUUAUCGUGCCAACGGUAAACGCUGGGUAGCUAUGUAUGGAGAGGAUAACCGCUGAAAGCAUCUAAGUGGGAAGCCCACCUCAAGAUAAGUAUUCCC